AUCUGGAGAGAGGCGCCGUGCGCGCCCACCGAAGGGGAUGCCGCGCGCAUGCGCGGUUGAAGCUCUCAGGUACCGAGACAGAU
This 83-nucleotide non-coding RNA is filed under the name Bordetella ansorpii. RNAcentral describes it as "Glycine sequence". It matches the Rfam family "Glycine riboswitch aptamer", at positions 9 to 86 of the family's 94-position model. Rfam says of the family: This family represents the bacterial glycine riboswitch. Glycine riboswitches usually consist of two metabolite-binding aptamers domains with similar structures in tandem. The aptamers cooperatively bind glycine to regulate the expression of downstream genes. The record is from Rfam by way of RNAcentral. Lineage: Bacteria; Pseudomonadati; Pseudomonadota; Betaproteobacteria; Burkholderiales; Alcaligenaceae.